UUCAACGAGUUCUCUUUUUGGUUGAAUAUUGUGUGUAUCCUUUUUCAGCUCACUGUUUAAUUUCAUUUCUAGGUCCAUUAUAGUAUCUUCCUACAUAGCUGUAUAUCAUGAAGCAGAAUCUCGAGGAAUCUGAAACUUUAUAUACUUGUGUGCUAUUCUAAAUACAUGUUUUAUCUGGUGCAGGCACUUGAUAAAUCGCAGCUUGGAGCCCUUCUUCGUCAAAGAGGCGAAAAGCUUGAUUCACCAGUGCUUGAAAAUGGGGAAAAUUGGAGUGUGGGACAACGAAAACUUGUUUCAUUGGGCCGUGCUUUGCUUAAGCAGGCAAGAAUACUUGUUCUUGAUGAAGCCACUGCUUCUGUUGAUACAGCGACAGAUAAUCUUAUCCAGACUCUAAUAAGGGCAGAGUUCAGGGACUGCACAGUUGUGAUGAUAGCACACAGAAUACCAACAGUUAUGGAUAGUGAUUUUGUGUUGGUCCUCAGUGACGUGUGCUCAACAAGUCGGCGCCCGCGAGUGUGGCUAUUACAUUAUGAAGUUCAUGCAUGAAAUAGUCACGUUACACCAUAACUCUGAUGAGCGGUUAGAUAAUGCUUACACUCCAAGAAAUGCGCCUUAUACCGAUGAGGAAAUAGAUGUGGUUCGUGAGCAAUGGGCUAAGUUUUUUACAACCGAGUAUUUAUUUACUUAGGUUGUUUAGACACAAAGAUGGAAGCGUUUAUAUCUUCAUGGAUUUGCUUGUUUUGAGUACUGGAAGCGGUGUUAAUGGUUUCACUCUAGAUCCAUCUCCUUGGAGAGUAUAUUUUAACUCAUCCAGACAUCAAGGGAUCGAGUCGAUUGGAAGAAAUUCAACACUGCCUUAAUUAAGGUUUAUAAUGCAUGAUCUAAAGGGAGCUAAGUGGCCGGAUUAGAGAAAUUUGUUAGACUAGCUCUCUAGCCUUUUGUCUUUAUUUGUUAAUAUUAGUUGUAAUUUGUUAGACUAGCUAGGUGUUUAAAAUUGCAAACGUACGUACUAUACGCUUGGGUUACUAUAAAUGAAGUUAAUGUAAUGAUUUAUUUAUUAAAAAUAAGCAGAUUCAUACCUUUGCUA
Spinacia oleracea (spinach) is the source of this 1087-nucleotide long non-coding RNA. RefSeq lists it as uncharacterized. NCBI's taxonomy places the organism in Eukaryota, Viridiplantae, Streptophyta, Magnoliopsida, Caryophyllales, Amaranthaceae. The record is from RefSeq and is a predicted model, not a curated record. The transcript is spliced from 6 exons.